Molecule: microRNA precursor, 215 nt
Organism: Oryza rufipogon (brownbeard rice)
Lineage: Eukaryota; Viridiplantae; Streptophyta; Magnoliopsida; Poales; Poaceae
Rfam family: MIR812 microRNA precursor family
Source: Rfam
UAUAAGUGCAACAAUAAGUUUCUGCGUCCAACUUUGAUCGUUCGUCUUAUUUGAAAUUUAUUUAUAGUUAGUAUUUUCGUUGUUAUGAGAUGAUAAAACAUGAAUAGUACUUUACUCGUGACUUAUGUUUUUAAAUUUUUUCAAAAAAUUCAAAAAAUUUUGCAAAUAAGACGGACGGUCAAAGUUGAACGCGGAAAACCAUGACUGCACUUAUA